GGUCUUUUUGUAUAAUGGUUAGUACAGUUACCCUUCAAGUAGCAAGUGUCAGUUCAAAUCUGAUAAAGACUA
This 72-nucleotide transfer RNA is filed under the name Coniophora olivacea. RNAcentral's name for it is "tRNA-Glu". It matches the Rfam family "tRNA". Rfam says of the family: Transfer RNA (tRNA) molecules are approximately 80 nucleotides in length. Their secondary structure includes four short double-helical elements and three loops (D, anti-codon, and T loops). Lineage: Eukaryota; Fungi; Basidiomycota; Agaricomycetes; Boletales; Coniophoraceae. The record is from RNAcentral.